Oxyura jamaicensis (ruddy duck) is the source of this 842-nucleotide long non-coding RNA. RefSeq lists it as uncharacterized. NCBI's taxonomy places the organism in Eukaryota, Metazoa, Chordata, Aves, Anseriformes, Anatidae. The record is from RefSeq and is a predicted model, not a curated record. The transcript is spliced from 2 exons.
AAUGUCUGCUUUGUACUGAAUGAGCUUCAGUGACUUAUUGAAGAAUUGCCUUAGAAAUCUGUAGUAGAUUCAGGGAAUGAGUGCAUCGCAGAACUUUGUAGAAAAAGUCUCACUGGCUACAACAAGGACUAGCACAUUGGUGUGGAGUAGUGGUGAACCAGGCUGAGAACUGAGCUGGCCAAAAAUAAUGCAGCAACAGCAAAACCAAUUGACCUCCAAUGCUCAGUGCUUUUUUGGAAACGGAGAAGAGUGGUAAAUAUUCUUUCUGUUAAAUGAAAAGAGUGUUGUGAAAUGGGAAAGCUACAAAAUGUCUAUUGCUCAGGGGAGCAAUACUACUUGUGUUACGUUUGAGCCUGUCUACCCUCAAACUGUAACCAUGGUUUCCCUUUUGCCACAGUUGAUGGUUAUCUAGCCAUGCUGUAAACUGAUUCAGGAAUCCAAAAUGGCAGAAAAGUAGAAGAGGAAAGUAAAUAGAGUUUUCUACUGGUUUGACUCCUUGAACAGUCUCAUACUGUGGUUGGAUGAGUGAUGGAUGGGUGUAAAGGAGGGAUGAGAACAGACAGCUGGAAGCUGGGGGUGAGGGAAAUAGGACCUCCUUUUGACAGCAGCUAUCUGUUAGUUAUAUCAGCCUAACUGUGUUUUCCAUGUGCAUUUUUUUUUCCUUGGGGCUGGCUGAGAAUCCCAGAAUCUGGGGAGUGCUUGGCGAGCUGUGAAUACUAGGAAAUUGGAAACUGGAAAGAAAGGUAGCAGACAAUUUGAAGUUACAGAUGCACACGUGAUCCUAUGGGUGUCCAGACCUCCUUAGGCACAAGCUUGUGCAGAGCUGGAAAUCAUAAGCAAGA